UACAGAGGGGGCAAGCGUUGUUCGGAAUUAUUGGGCGUAAAGGGCGCGUAGGUGGCCUUCUAAGUUGAACGUGAAAUCCCUGGGCUCAACCCAGGAACUGCGUCCAAGACUGGGAGGCUUGAAUCCGGGAGAGGGAUGCGGAAUUCCAGGUGUAGCGGUGAAAUGCGUAGAUAUCUGGAGGAACACCGGUGGCGAAGGCGGCAUCCUGGACCGGUAUUGACACUGAGGCGCGAAAGCCAGGGGAGCAAACGGG
RNAcentral lists this ribosomal RNA (253 nucleotides) under uncultured bacterium. RNAcentral describes it as "partial 16S ribosomal RNA". It matches the Rfam family "Bacterial small subunit ribosomal RNA", at positions 524 to 776 of the family's 1533-position model. The record is from RNAcentral.